This is a long non-coding RNA of Mus musculus (house mouse), 1186 nucleotides long. RefSeq annotates it as predicted gene, 53525. NCBI's taxonomy places the organism in Eukaryota, Metazoa, Chordata, Mammalia, Rodentia, Muridae. The transcript has 3 exons. The record is from RefSeq and is a predicted model, not a curated record.
CUGUGGCUCCCUAUAGAAGCCUAGACUUCAGUGUUUCCAGCUCCAGCCCCACCCCCUGGGCACCAGGAGGCUGCGACAGGGUAAGGAGGAGCCACAGCCUGAUGGCACCCUCAAGGCAGAAGUGAGCCAGUCUCUGAAACCAUGUCACUGAAUGGACUAAGACAGACAAUGUCAGCAAAGUGGAGUGUUGCCCUGACAGAGCUAAGAUGGGUGAAGGUGAAGAAAGGCCACACUGAAGAGGAGGAAAAGGCCAAGGAAAGCCUUUGUGGUGAAGAGAGGAUGGAAGGCAGAUGGAAAGCAUGAAAGCACUUGGGGAGAAAGCGCUAAGGCCAAGUGAGGCUGCUUGGGGCGGAGGACACCUUUUCCUGGAGACCAUCAGGACCAUGAGUGUAACAUUUUCAGAGAGAUGCUUCAGCAAUCACUGCCCUGUACCAUACACAUCUCUCCACAUGUCAGUAUGAACCCAAUGACCAUCCCAGUGAAGUCUCCUAUGGACCCAGGUAUAAUUCAACUUGCCACUCCAGAAGGUACAAGCCAGGACCCCUGCCCCCUCCACCCCUGCAGUAUCCAUGUGAAAUUCAAAGAAUGCUGUGGACAGUCUGGGAACCCAGCAGAGAUCUGUCACAAGCACAAAGCCCUCAGAGAGCUCCAAUUCAGGCAAUGCCUACAGAAGAGACAGUGAGGCAGCUUCCAAGCUCCUGGACCAAAGGACCAUUGCUUGAUCUCCCAGGCUCAGGGAUGAGAGAGGAUGCUUCAGGAUGGGCUGUUCCCUGUGUCUUGUCCCUAUCUGACUCAAGCGACAUUCUGGGCUUUGCAUCUUAAAGGUGAUACAGGAACAAGAUGGUGCUCUUGGGAUGGAGAAAAACGUGCUGUGCAUUUAAGAAAAACAUGGAUUCAGGGAGCAGAAGGGAAUGCUGUGGCUUGGAAGGAUCCCUAAGCUUCCCACAUUGGCAAGGAUCCCCAAAGCAACAGUGUGGAGCUGGAGCCUGUGAGGGGUGUCACCACCAUGAGCACGUGUACCUUUCUGGGUUGCUCCAUCAGGUGACACAGCAGAAGAGCCCAUCUUUGGUGUGUGUUUUUGUUGGUUUUAUGCUGGAAAUUAAAUACAGAUGCUAAGCAAGUAAUCUACCCUGAGUUGUAUUUCCACUCUCCAGUCCCUUCAUUUUUAACAUCCUCGCCUCCAGAA